UCUAACAGAUUCUGGAGACAUCUUCAAAAUACCACAGCGUGAAUUCUCUUGUUUUUUACAGCAAGAAUUUCUGUCUCCUGUCUAAGCUGCUACGUCUAACUUGGAUGGAAUUCUACCAUCAGGAGUGAUCCAGACAGACAACAUUCCACUGUUCUGAGCUGCAAAAGCUGGUCAAAUUGCUUGUAACUACAGUGUCUCAUCUGCUUCAUGAGGAAAGGAAGGAUCAGAGAAGGCUUGAGGCUGGACUACAGCAUUGAGAAAGAGCCCCAUGAUAGGAAGGUUGAAGAUUCCAGCCAUGCCAGAAGGAGAAUGGAGGUCACUGAACAACCCCCACCUGCUGGAAGAAUGUGUGCUCAUUGCAGCACCAAACCUUCCUCUUCACUUCUCUUGACCUGCACAAAUCAGGGACAGUCCUUGGGUGCUCUACCUGGGACACUGCAGCUGGAGCC
Non-coding RNA from Cyanistes caeruleus (blue tit), 449 nucleotides. The record is from RefSeq and is a predicted model, not a curated record. NCBI's taxonomy places the organism in Eukaryota, Metazoa, Chordata, Aves, Passeriformes, Paridae.